CGCCUCGGCUCCGAGAUUCCCACAGCAAAUCACUAAGAAAAUCUCGCUUGGUUUGUCAAAGGUGGACAUGGUUCAGUAGGGCUGCUCCCAUCACCCCUCAGACCUUUAGAGCAGGUGACCCACACUCGACAGGUGGAGACCCCCUUUGCUGGUGAGAAGAAUGGCCUGCAGUUGUGUGUCCUCGUUGCUGCAGCUGGGUGAGGCCCUAGAAUGAGAACUGGAUUGCUGGCUGAAAUGGAGGAAGCAUGGGCUGAUGUCCAGAAGGAGAAGCAAGUGGACGUAGUGUAUCCUGUCCCACCAUUCUCUCUGCACCUCAGCCUGUGGUCAGUCUCAGCUCUUCUUCUCUGUCCCUGGUUGAUUUGAAGAAUGGCUAAGGUGAUGAAGGCACUUUGCCAAUACUCAGUGGGCGAACACCAGGUGCCAGGCGCCAGGCAGUGCUCUAGGCACCAGGAGGGGGCGCAGGAAUGAACAUUCUUUUUCCUCUCUGGCAGAGUCUAGGUGGGGAGGGAGAGGCAACCAGAAUAUUCUAAUGGGUUAUUAGAGGUAAGUGUGGUUUGGUAGAAUAGAGGUGUGGAUUGGUGACAUGGGUCGUCCCAAACCCAAUACACCUGUGUCCUCACAAAAAGAAGAGCCAAGGACACCGCACAGACCCAGAAGUGACACGUGAGGAUGCCGCUUUUGUUUCUUUCCUGUUGCCCUGACAACACACCUCAUAGAAACAACGUAGGGGAAGGGUUUAUUGGGGCUCACAGCUCAGGUUGCGCAGACCAUCAUGCAGGAGUCUGAGGUAGUGGCACCCACAGUCAGGCCCCAGAGCAAAGCACGUCUGGGUUGAACGCACUAUCUCCUUCACUCACCCAGUUGACGGCCCAGGUACUGAAACAGUGCCGCCCAUUCAGCUAACCCAGGUCAGACGAUUCUUCAGAGCCAUGCCCACAGGGCAGUGCCAUCCAGACAAUCUGUCUUUGAGUCUUCCUUUCUAGAGAAUUCCAGAUCCUGCCAAGUUGACAGCUGACAUCAACCAUCCCAGAUACUAUCUCAACCAGAGCCACUAACGCCAAUCACGUCAACCUGUGUGGGCAGAGGGCAAGCCAGAAAAGGUGAAUAGAUCUGCUGGUGUUCUCCGGAAGGUAGAACCUAACUGUGUGUGGGUGUGCGCGCGUGUGUGUGCUGCGUGUGAGUGUGUGUGUGUGUGUGUGUGUGUGUGUGUGUGUGUGUGUGAGGGGGCAGUUAAUAUAUUAGAGCAGCCAUCCUCUCCGGAGACUGGUCAAUCUUCCAAUGACCAUCUGCUGGAUGGAGGGCCAGACACCCCAGAAUCCUUAGAACAAGACAGGCCAUUGACUCAGCCUGGGGCUGAAGACCUGGAAACUCCCACAGGUAACCACAGCACAAGCCCCCGCUCACGAAAGGUAGAGGGCAUGUGAACACACACUUUCUCCUCUCUCUUUUCCCCAUCUAGUCCCCUGACCUGUUGGUGGGUGAUGGCCCAUGUUCAGGCUGGCAUCUAGAAACGCUCUCAGAGAGGCACCCAGCAGUGUUUUCACCAACUUACUUUCCAGGUGUCUUUCAACCCUGCAAAGUUAACCAUCAAGGAGAAGCCUGAUGGAGGAGGACGGGUUCUGCCAGUGGGAGACAGAUAGUACUUCCCACAUCUGUCCCACGAGAUACUUUCCAUAACUAUGUCUGAGCAGCAGCCAUGACUGGGAAGCAGAGAGGUGGCAAAAUAAGGCAGCCAGGACCACCUACCACCACACCGAAGACCUCACAGCUCAGCACGAGACAAUCAGACUUGUGGACUCCACAGGAACCUGUUCUCAGGGUACAGUCACCGUGGUCCAGCCCAGCUGGUCUUGGAAGGCAUGCCUGGAGUCUGUGAUGCUAUCCACCACACCCCAGCCGAUGCAGGAAGCUCAGGGCAAACCCAACACACUCUGACACCAGAUCAGAGGAACCUCCUGUCCCACCCUUUUCUCUGUUGCCUUCCAGCAUUUCCCCUGAGGACUCAUUGCAGCUGGGAUCGACUACGAUGCCCUUCAGUGUGACAGGUGGGGGAUGCGACUCCAGCUGCAGA
Alexandromys fortis (reed vole) is the source of this 2071-nucleotide long non-coding RNA. RefSeq lists it as uncharacterized. The record is from RefSeq and is a predicted model, not a curated record. The transcript is spliced from 3 exons. NCBI's taxonomy places the organism in Eukaryota, Metazoa, Chordata, Mammalia, Rodentia, Cricetidae.